AACGCGAAGAACCUUACCUGGGCUCGAACGGCUUUGGAUCAUCUUUGGAAACAGAGACUUCUCGCAAGAGACCGGAGUCGAGGUGCUGCAUGGCUGUCGUCAGCUCGUGUCGUGAGAUGUUGGGUUAAGUCCCGCAACGAGCGCAACCCUUGUCCUGUGUUGCCACUCCCGUAAGGGAAGCACUCUCAGGAGACCGCCAGCGAUAAGUUGGAGGAAGGUGGGGAUGAUGUCAAGUCAUCAUGGCCUUUAUGUCCAGGGCUACACACGUGCUACAAUGGACGGUACAAAGCGCUGCAAACCCGCGAGGGGGAGCCAAUCGCAAAAAACCGUUCUCAGUUCGGAUCGCAGGCUGCAACUCGCCUGCGUGAAGCUGGAAUCGCUAGUAAUGGCGUAUCAGAACGAUGCCGUGAAUACGUUCCCGGGCCUUGUA
RNAcentral lists this ribosomal RNA (430 nucleotides) under uncultured Acidobacterium sp. RNAcentral describes it as "bacterial SSU rRNA". It matches the Rfam family "Bacterial small subunit ribosomal RNA", at positions 958 to 1385 of the family's 1533-position model. The record is from RNAcentral. Lineage: Bacteria; Pseudomonadati; Acidobacteriota; Terriglobia; Terriglobales; Acidobacteriaceae.